Molecule: long non-coding RNA, 293 nt
Filed under: Brassica rapa (field mustard)
Lineage: Eukaryota; Viridiplantae; Streptophyta; Magnoliopsida; Brassicales; Brassicaceae
Description: long non-coding RNA (BRAP_LNC003823)
Source: RNAcentral
AUGCGGGUCGAGAUUGUUUUGAGCGGGACAGGUGCGGGUCAGUCGAAUUUAAGUCGCGGAUAUCCGCCAACCCAUAAAUUAAAAAAAAACAUUUGAAAAAAAACAUUUUUCGUAAAAUAUAUAAAAAACAAUAAAUAUUUAUAUAAUUUUAAUUAAAAAUAUAUUAUUUUAAUAGUAUUUUUUAAAAAUAACUAUUAUAUAAAUUUAAAAUAAUUAUUUAUAAUUAAAAUAAUUAUUAUUCUAUAAUUAAAAAAUAAUCAUUUUUAAUUAAAAUAACUAAUUUUAGUAUAAUU